This 253-nucleotide ribosomal RNA is filed under the name uncultured bacterium. RNAcentral's name for it is "partial 16S ribosomal RNA". It matches the Rfam family "Bacterial small subunit ribosomal RNA", at positions 524 to 776 of the family's 1533-position model. The record is from RNAcentral.
UACAGAGGGUGCGAGCGUUGUCCGGAAUCACUGGGCGUAAAGGGCGCGUAGGCGGCUCGGUAAGCGUGCGGUGAAAGCCCGGGGCUCAACCCCGGGUCGGCCGUGCGAACUGCAGAGCUGGAGCACUGUAGAGGCAGGUGGAAUUCCGGGUGUAGCGGUGGAAUGCGUAGAGAUCCGGAAGAACACCGGUGGCGAAGGCGGCCUGCUGGGCAGUUGCUGACACUGAGGCGCGACAGCGUGGGGAGCAAACAGG